Manis javanica (Malayan pangolin) is the source of this 934-nucleotide non-coding RNA. The record is from RefSeq and is a predicted model, not a curated record. Lineage: Eukaryota; Metazoa; Chordata; Mammalia; Pholidota; Manidae.
GUCAAAUCUUCUCAGGUCUUAAAUAUAGGAACAACCCUGGUAUAAGUUGUUCUGAAUGCCCUCAUUUCUGGCCAAAUCCAGGAGUUUUUGCCUUUGACUUAUUUGUGUUUCCUUGAGACACAGCUAGGCAAGACUCUGUGCCUAGUAUUGGGACAGGCCAAAGCAGAUGGAGGGAAAGCCAAGAUCUGUAACUAGACUCGUGUUUUGGUGUGGAAUGGAGCCAGCAGGUACUGGAAGUUAAGCAGCAGAGAACAAUAAACUGCCAGCCACCGUUUAUUGAGUACUUCCUGUAUGCUGGGCAUGCCAAGUGCUUUACAUAGUUAUCAAGAUAAACAAAACUAACUCCCUUUUUCCACCAAGAGUGCGAACUUCGAAUGAUGAUAAAAUGAGUACAUCAUUGUUUCACAUGGAUCUGGGAAACCACCGAUUCCAGAUUUCCGUUUUCAGCCCUUCUGACUAUGCCUAACAGCAGAGGUCUUCCUACCGUCAAUUACACACUGACUCACAACCCUACUGCAGACUGCAUUGAGGUGCUCCAAAGGGUGUGGCCCAGGAUCCCCAGGAUCCCCUGGAUGGGCAGCAAGACCUUACCCUAUACUGUGAGCACUGGGGCAAGAGGAGAGGAAAGCUGAAUGACAACUGGCACAUUCAGAAGUGCCACUCCAAACCCCAGAAGGGCCCUGGCAGAAAUUUCAGGCCACAGAGACCUCUGCACAACCCCCAUAAUGCUAAUAAAUACAACUUAAAAAAUAAAACAACAAAAUAAAAAAUAACCAAUCCACCAGGGCAGCUUCCAUGAUGAAAUGUGGACAACUUAAAAUACGUAACAUUAAACAUAAGGAGCCACUCUGACAGGUGUGAGGUGAUAUCUCACUGUGGUUCUGAUUUGUAUUUCAAUUAUGAUCAGUGAUAUUGAGGACCUUUUCCUGAACCU